Long non-coding RNA from Panthera uncia (snow leopard), 855 nucleotides. RefSeq lists it as uncharacterized. The record is from RefSeq and is a predicted model, not a curated record. Lineage: Eukaryota; Metazoa; Chordata; Mammalia; Carnivora; Felidae. The transcript is spliced from 2 exons.
CCAGCCGGAAGUGGGCAGGUACCGCCCCGCACGUCCUGGCUCCGGCUCGGCUGGGCGCUCGGUAGAGUGAGUGACGCACGAGCCAAGACCUGCGGCACGUGGACUGGCCCGGAUCAGUGACACUCGGGCGCCAACACCAACGACAGAAGGGUCUUCUGUUGACUGGAAACCAACAGCGAGGGCUGGGUGUUAAAUCACAGCAGGCGACUUCCCCACCAGCAGGCGUCUGGUUAGCAAGCUAGUAACUGCGAAUGUGGAGGAACGAAGAACAAGCCAGGAGAAAAGUGCCUGCAGCCAACAUUUCCUGCCGGCCGUGUGCUGGGACUCAGGAACAGCACAGCGCCCGGCACGGAGCCUGCUCCGCAGACGUCACAGCGAUCACGGCUGUUCUGGAGAGCCUGGCUUUGUUGGGGGACCCGAGAGGGGCCAAGGGCUGUGUCCUGGGGGACCGGUCCCGCCUCUUACGGACCGACAGGGGUUCCGUUAGUGUCCCGGCGGGCCGGCGUUGGGAGCGCAGCAGGGGGUGCAGAGAUGGUCAGGUCCUACCCGGACCCCCAGGGCAGCGUGAAGGGUGCUCCCGACGCAGUGAGAGAGGGCAGCUGCUGGGGUGCACGGCCAAGCACCGUGGCCAGCGGAGCCUGCUGAGUGUCCCACGUACACCUGCCUGGUGCGCUCAGAGAGCCCCCGCACCACAUUCCAGCGCUCUCCCCAGCGAGCCUGCCCUGGGUCUCGUGCUCGCUCUCAGCUAAGUUGUUUGGUGGGGGUUUCUGUUUAAACAUAAGAACUUUUCCUCAACUUUUAGCCUAGAAAACGUUUAAGAGAUGCUAUUAAUAAAUUUGGUUUAGGGGCACAUGG